UAGGGAAUCUUCGGCAAUGGGGGGAACCCUGACCGAGCAACGCCGCGUGAGUGAAGAAGGUUUUCGGAUCGUAAAGCUCUGUUGUUAAGGAAGAACGUGUGUGAGAGUGGAAAGUUCACACAGUGACGGUACUUAACCAGAAAGUGACGGCUAAAUACGUGCCAGCAGCCGCGGUAAUACGUAUGUCACGAGCGUUAUCCGGAUUUAUUGGGCGUAAAGCGCGUCUAGGUGGUUAUAUAAGUCUGAUGUGAAAAUGCAGGGCUCAACUCUGUAUUGCGUUGGAAACUGUAUAACUAGAGUACUGGAGAGGUAAGCGGAACUACAAGUGUAGAGGUGAAAUUCGUAGAUAUUUGUAGGAAUGCCGAUGGGGAAGCCAGCUUACUGGACAGAUACUGACGCUGAAGCGCGAAAGCGUGGGUAGCAAACAGGAUUAGAUACCCUGGUAGUCCACGCUGUAAACGAUGAUUACUAGGUGUUGGGGGUCGAACCUCAGCGCCCAAGCAAACGCGAUAAGUAAUCCGCCUGGGGAGUACNNANNNGNNGUAUG
This 547-nucleotide ribosomal RNA is filed under the name uncultured bacterium. RNAcentral describes it as "bacterial SSU rRNA". It matches the Rfam family "Bacterial small subunit ribosomal RNA", at positions 355 to 896 of the family's 1533-position model. The record is from RNAcentral.